RNAcentral lists this ribosomal RNA (253 nucleotides) under uncultured bacterium. Its description in RNAcentral is "partial 16S ribosomal RNA". It matches the Rfam family "Bacterial small subunit ribosomal RNA", at positions 524 to 776 of the family's 1533-position model. The record is from RNAcentral.
UACGAAGGGGGCUAGCGUUGUUCGGAAUCACUGGGCGUAAAGCGCACGUAGGCGGCUUUCUAAGUCAGGGGUGAAAUCCUGGAGCUCAACUCCAGAACUGCCUUUGAUACUGGGGAGCUCGAGUCCGGAAGAGGUGAGUGGAACUCCGAGUGUAGAGGUGAAAUUCGUAGACAUUCGGAAGAACACCAGUGGCGAAGGCGGCUCACUGGUCCGGUACUGACGCUGAGGUGCGAAAGCGUGGGGAGCAAACAGG